CCUACGGGUGGCAGCAGUGGGGAAUAUUGGACAAUGGGGGGAACCCUGAUCCAGCCAUGCCGCGUGUGUGAAGAAGGCCCUCGGGUUGUAAAGCACUUUCAGUGAGGAAGAACGCCUGGUGGUUAAUACCCAUCAGGAAAGACAUCACUCACAGAAGAAGCACCGGCUAACUCCGUGCCAGCAGCCGCGGUAAUACGGAGGGUGCGAGCGUUAAUCGGAAUUACUGGGCGUAAAGCGCGCGUAGGUGGCUUGAUAAGCCGGUUGUGAAAGCCCCGGGCUCAACCUGGGAACGGCAUCCGGAACUGUCAAGCUAGAGUGCAGGAGAGGAAGGUAGAAUUCCCGGUGUAGCGGUGAAAUGCGUAGAGAUCGGGAGGAAUACCAGUGGCGAAGGCGGCCUUCUGGACUGACACUGCCACUGAGGUGCGAAAGCGUGGGUAGCAAACAGGAUUAGAUACCCUAGUAGUC
This 465-nucleotide ribosomal RNA is filed under the name Vreelandella stevensii. Its description in RNAcentral is "partial 16S ribosomal RNA". It matches the Rfam family "Bacterial small subunit ribosomal RNA", at positions 338 to 795 of the family's 1533-position model. Lineage: Bacteria; Pseudomonadati; Pseudomonadota; Gammaproteobacteria; Oceanospirillales; Halomonadaceae. The record is from RNAcentral.